GACGAACGCUGGCGGCGUGCUUAACACAUGCAAGUCGAACGGAAAGGCCCCUUUGGGGGUACUCGAGUGGCGAACGGGUGAGUAACACGUGAGUAACCUGCCCUUGACUUCGGGAUAACUUCAGGAAACUGGGGCUAAUACCGGAUAGGAAUCCUUGCUGCAUGGUGGGGGUGGGAAACCUUCGGCGUUUUUGGAUGGACUGGGGCUUAUCAGCUUGUUGGUGGGGUAGUGGCUUACCAAGGCUUUGACGGGUAGCCGGCCUGAGGGGCCGAACGGCCACAUUGGGACUGAGAUACGGCCCAGACUCCUACGGGAGGCAGCAGUGGGGAAUAUUGCACAAGGGGCGGAAGCCUGAUGCAGCAACGCCGCGUGCGGGAUGACGGCCUUCGGGUUGUAAACCGCUUUCAGCAGGGGCGAAGCUUGUGGUGACGGUACCUGCAGAAGAAGCACCGGCUAACUACGUG
RNAcentral lists this ribosomal RNA (464 nucleotides) under uncultured bacterium. Its description in RNAcentral is "partial 16S ribosomal RNA". It matches the Rfam family "Bacterial small subunit ribosomal RNA", at positions 28 to 507 of the family's 1533-position model. The record is from RNAcentral.